RNAcentral lists this long non-coding RNA (264 nucleotides) under Homo sapiens (human). RNAcentral's name for it is "non-protein coding lnc-EVX1-14:1". The record is from RNAcentral. Lineage: Eukaryota; Metazoa; Chordata; Mammalia; Primates; Hominidae.
CUGUGCCUUCCACCAUGAUCAUGAGGCUUCCCCAGCCACACAGAACUAUUAUGAAGCAAUUUCCUACCUGUUUUUUUAUUUGAUCCAUGAACUUUUCAAGAGAUGUGUGCUAUUGCUGUUGUGACCAUUAGCUCCCAUUUCUCAGAUGAGGAAACUGAGGCUCAGUGAGCCUUAAAUGACUUGCCCAAAACUAUAAGGUCAGUUAGUGGUGGAACUUCUGCCUUCAAAUUUCUUGUCUUUUCCUGGAAGCAAUGUUGGCCCCCA